RNAcentral lists this unclassified non-coding RNA (224 nucleotides) under plant metagenome. RNAcentral describes it as "partial contains small subunit ribosomal RNA, internal transcribed spacer 1, and 5.8S ribosomal RNA". The record is from RNAcentral.
UUUCCGUAGGUGAACCUGCGGAAGGAUCAUUAUAGGACUCGCAAGACUCCUUCACCCUGUGAACCUCACUACAAGCACGUUGCUUCGGCGGGUGUCCCGGCGGGGGUUUUCCCUCGCCGGGGCGCACAGCCCGCCGGCAGCCUACUAUACUCUGUCUCUUUGCGUUGGCAUCUCGAGAAAAAACAAACAAGUUAAAACUUUCAACAACGGAUCUCUUGGUUCUG